AACGAACGCUGGCGGCAUGCCUAACACAUGCAAGUCGAACGAUGCUUUCGGGCAUAGUGGCGCACGGGUGCGUAACGCGUGGGAAUCUGCCCCUUGGUUCGGAAUAACAGUUAGAAAUGACUGCUAAUACCGGAUGACGACGUAAGUCCAAAGAUUUAUCGCCGAGGGAUGAGCCCGCGUAGGAUUAGCUAGUUGGUGUGGUAAAGGCGCACCAAGGCGACGAUCCUUAGCUGGUCUGAGAGGAUGAUCAGCCACACUGGGACUGAGACACGGCCCAGACUCCUACGGGAGGCAGCAGUGGGGAAUAUUGGACAAUGGGCGAAAGCCUGAUCCAGCAAUGCCGCGUGAGUGAUGAAGGCCUUAGGGUUGUAAAGCUCUUUUACCCGGGAUGAUAAUGACAGUACCGGGAGAAUAAGCUCCGGCUAACUCCGU
Molecule: ribosomal RNA, 432 nt
Filed under: uncultured bacterium
Lineage: Bacteria
Description: partial 16S ribosomal RNA
Rfam family: Bacterial small subunit ribosomal RNA
Source: RNAcentral